This 657-nucleotide ribosomal RNA is filed under the name Triticum aestivum (bread wheat). RNAcentral's name for it is "partial small subunit ribosomal RNA". The record is from RNAcentral. Lineage: Eukaryota; Viridiplantae; Streptophyta; Magnoliopsida; Poales; Poaceae.
AUGGCAGAGAACCGACCGGAGACGAUGGCGAACAGCACGGCCCCGCGGUUCGUGGUCUCCUACAGCGCGAACCCACAGCCGCAACCCCUGGUGGUGAAGCUCAAGUGGUCCAACAUCUACGAGAGCGAGAGCGAGACGGAGGAGCAGUUCUCCGGCCUCACGGCGGAGACGCCCGUCGACUGGGCCGUGGAGCUCCGCCGCCGCAUCGCCGCGAACCUGCAGUGGCUGGUGGAGAAGACCGUGCGGUCCAGCAUCUACCGGAGCAGCUACUGGAGGGAGCGGUGCUUCGGCCUCACUGCGGAGACCCUCGUCGGCAGGACCGUGGAGCUCGACCACGUCAGCGGCACCUACGGUCGCAGCAGGCCGACCCCCUUCCUGUGCCUCGCCCUCAAGAUGCUCCAGAUGCAGCCCGACAGGGAGACCGUCGUCGGGUUCAUCAGCAACGAGGAGCACAGGUACCUUCGAGCUCUCGGGGCCUUCUACCUGCGCCUCACCGGCGCCGGCGCCGACGUUCGCCGGUACCUCGAGCCGCUCUCCAACGACCACCGCGAGAUCAGGGAGAGGAUCAGCGACGAAGAAUUCAUGCUCACGGGCUAUUUCAUUGAUGAGCUCCUGACUCAGGACUCCUGCUGCGACAUUGUCCUCCCCCGCAUUUAG